Molecule: ribosomal RNA, 253 nt
Filed under: uncultured bacterium
Lineage: Bacteria
Description: partial 16S ribosomal RNA
Rfam family: Bacterial small subunit ribosomal RNA
Source: RNAcentral
UACGAAGGGGGCUAGCGUUGCUCGGAAUUACUGGGCGUAAAGCGCACGUAGGCGGCUCUUUAAGUCGGGGGUGAAAUCCUGGAGCUCAACUCCAGAACUGCCUUCGAUACUGUAGAGCUUGAGUUCGGGAGAGGUGAGUGGAACUGCGAGUGUAGAGGUGAAAUUCGUAGAUAUUCGCAAGAACACCAGUGGCGAAGGCGGCCAACUGGUCCAUUACUGACGCUGAGGUGCGAAAGCGUGGGGAGCAAACAGG